RNAcentral lists this long non-coding RNA (1928 nucleotides) under Homo sapiens (human). RNAcentral's name for it is "non-protein coding lnc-POTEB-5:3". The record is from RNAcentral. Lineage: Eukaryota; Metazoa; Chordata; Mammalia; Primates; Hominidae.
ACCCCACAUUCUCCAGUCUUAGGUCUUCAAGGAUGAACAGACAUUGCAGAAAGGCACGGUUGGGAACAGAAAAAAAUGAUCUCCACUCCCCCAGCCCCCUCCACACCUUGGGCACAUUUCCCUGGAGCCGCCCGAGUGUUCUUUGUCAGUGUAGGAAGAAGCAAAAAUCUAAAUGGAGUCAGGAUGGCCUCCCACAUGGGCACAAGGACAAGGCUGGGGACAGUUGGGUCUCCUCAUCUUAUUUCCCAGGUCUAGGCUGAUUUCUAUUAAUAAUUAAAUUAAUCGUUGUUCUCCUGGACCUCACUUCUUAAUGUGAUUCCAGGAAACUGGCCACAUUCCAAAAUUCAUAAUCUAAGGUAGUGAAAUAACGUGAGCAUCAAGACAGUUUGGCUGGGCUCAGAGGCUCACAUCUGUAAUCCCAGUACUUUGGGAGGCCGAGGGUAGAUCCCUUGAGCCCAGGAGUUCGAGACCAGCCUGGGCAACAUGGCGAAAUCCCAUCUCUACAAAAAAUACAAAAAUUAGCCAGAUGUGGUGGCAUGUGCCUGUAGUCCCAGUUACUUGGGAGACUGCGGUGGAAGGAUUGCCUGAGCCCAGGAAAGGGAGGUUGCGGUGAAUGGGGAUCCCACCACUGCACUCCAGCCUGGGUGACAGCGUAAGACUCUGUCUCAAAAACAAAAGAUUCAUUUCUUAUUGAUAAAGCAAGCUCCUUGGAGAAAGAUCUUGGAACCUCAUUGGGAGUGGAGGUGGGGCUUCUUCAAUCCAGCCGAGCUGGCUGUGAAACCCCCAGGGUUUGGUACCAAGUGAGCUCCAGUCCCAGCUGUGGCUGACUGUGUGAACUUGGCUAUGCAUUCAAGGGCCUCUGAGCCUCAGUUUCCUCAUCUGUAGAAGAGAGCCAGGAACCCGUCAUCCUGGCUAGCAGUGGAAGUCAAAGGUGCUCAUGGAAAGAAUGUCCUUGCUGGCUGGAACAAGGGAGGCCUGAGCUGUGGAAGUCCUUGGAUCAAGGUCCUCCCCACUUCCCGCUGCCUUUUUGGUCCUUCUUGCGUGCUCUUUGUGAUUUAAUGGCUUAGUAGGUUGAAUCAUGUCCCCCCAAAGUUUAUCUCUACCCCAAAUCUCAGAAUGUGACCUUAUUUGGAAAAAGAGUCUUUGCAGAUAAUUAAGGUAAGAGUCAAGAUAAAAUCACACUGAAUUAUGGUGAGCCCUACAUGCAAUGAGACAGUCCUUACAAGAUACAGAAAAGAACACAUAGAGACUUCGGGGGAAAGGAGACUAUGUGCAAGGAUGGCAGAGAUUGGAGCCGAGGGGUGCCUGGGCCUACCAGAGGCUGCAAGAGACAGGGAGGACCCUCCCCUAGAGCCUCCAGGGGGAACAGCCCUGCCCACACCUUGACUUUGGACUCCUGGCCUCCAGAACUGUGAGAGGAAGUCGGCGUGGCUCAGCUCAGUCCAGUUCACAACAAAUAUGAAAUCCCUGCCCUACAGGACCAGGCCUCAGGAAGGGCUUGGGGGCCUCAGAGGCAAAUGAGACCAGGUCCAUCAACCAUACAGAACUGACAACCUGGACUCCCCACUCUGAAGGCACCUACUGUCUCACCCUUCCCUGACUCUGCCCGUGCACAAGGUGACCCCGGCUGCAAGCGUGCCAGGAGCUUUUCUCCACCUCUGCCUCAACAUCUGCCGCCUCUCCUCCUCUGGAGAGGGAGGCAGCUGAAGGACACCAGCCCCACGCCUUGCUGGAGCAGCUGAGAUCGCUGGGAGGAGACCUAGGACCCUACGAGAGGAGGGAUCUGGAGGCCAGGACAGGAGCAGGACAACACAAACAGAGGCCUCAGAAGAAGACUCAGAGUGGGACAGGGGUUCCUUAAGUGACGGGGGCUGGAAGUGCACAGAGAAGCCUGGUGCAGCAGGGAAUUUUCUCUCCCUGGGGUGCUG